RNAcentral lists this ribosomal RNA (707 nucleotides) under Chlorella sp. RZ-2. RNAcentral's name for it is "eukaryotic LSU rRNA". The stretch from base 258 to 411 matches the Rfam family "5.8S ribosomal RNA". Lineage: Eukaryota; Viridiplantae; Chlorophyta; Trebouxiophyceae; Chlorellales; Chlorellaceae. The record is from RNAcentral.
ACAAGUACCGAUCGAUCACUCUGGUACCAACUGUCACCCUCGCUUGGGUGUCGGGCCUCGGCCCGGCUCCCCGGCGGGCGUCGGUUCCCUGGCUGGGGCUCUGCCGCAGUUCAGGUCCGGCGGGCGUGACCCCCAAAUGUAUUUUUGGGGCGUUUGCGUCGGUAAUUUGUAUCCAACUCAACCCACCCCAAAACCUCAAACCCCACUGAAGCAUCCGUGGCAGCCGGCUCGUCCGCCUGUCCACUCCAACCAAAGACAACUCUCAACAACGGAUAUCUUGGCUCCCGUAUCGAUGAAGAACGCAGCGAAAUGCGAUACGUAGUGUGAAUUGCAGAAUUCCGUGAACCAUCGAAUCUUUGAACGCAAAUUGCGCCCGAGGCUUCGGCCGAGGGCAUGUCUGCCUCAGCGUCGGUUUACACCCUCGCCUCCCUUGCCCCUGUGCAAGGGGGGCGGACCUGGCCCUCCUGGCUCCGCGUCCCUCUCCAGGGGCGCGUCCGGGUCGGCUGAAGUGCAGAGGCUUGAGCAUGGACCCCGUUUGCAGGGCAAUGGCUUGGUAGGUAGGCACCCCCUACGCACGCCUGCCGUUGUCCGAGGGGACUUUGUUGGCGGCCCAGCAGGAAUCGGUGGCCCGCCGUGAGGCGGCCCCGACGAACUUACACCUUCGACCUGAGCUCAGGCAAGAUUACCCGCUGAAUUAAAGCAUAUAA